AUUGAACGCUGGCGGCAUGCUUUACACAUGCAAGUCGAACGGUAACAGCACUUCGGUGGCUGACGAGUGGCGAACGGGUGAGUAAUACAUCGGAACGUGCCUAGUAGUGGGGGAUAACUACUCGAAAGAGUAGCUAAUACCGCAUGAGAUCUAAGGAUGAAAGCAGGGGACCUUCGGGCCUUGCGCUACUAGAGCGGCUGAUGGCAGAUUAGGUAGUUGGUGGGGUAAAAGCUUACCAAGCCGACGAUCUGUAGCUGGUCUGAGAGGACGACCAGCCACACUGGGACUGAGACACGGCCCAGACUCCUACGGGAGGCAGCAGUGGGGAAUUUUGGACAAUGGGCGCAAGCCUGAUCCAGCAAUGCCGCGUGCAGGAUGAAGGCCUUCGGGUUGUAAACUGCUUUUGUACGGAACGAAAAGCCCUCUUCUAAUACAGGAGGGUCAUGACGGUACCGUAAGAAUAAGCACCGGCUAACUACGUG
Molecule: ribosomal RNA, 482 nt
Filed under: uncultured bacterium
Lineage: Bacteria
Description: partial 16S ribosomal RNA
Rfam family: Bacterial small subunit ribosomal RNA
Source: RNAcentral